AUCCAGCUGAAUAGUCCUAAAUAGGACGAAAUGCGCGUCCUGGAU
Molecule: non-coding RNA, 45 nt
Filed under: Schistosoma bovis
Lineage: Eukaryota; Metazoa; Platyhelminthes; Trematoda; Strigeidida; Schistosomatidae
Also listed under: 1 other name
Source: RNAcentral